GAUGAACGCUGGCGGCGUGCCUAAUACAUGCAAGUCGAGCGAACAGACGAGGAGCUUGCUCCUCUGACGUUAGCGGCGGACGGGUGAGUAACACGUGGAUAACCUACCUAUAAGACUGGGUUAACUUCGGGAAACCGGAGCUAAUACCGGAUAAUAUAUUGAACCGCAUGGUUCAAUAGUGAAAGACGGUUUUGCUGUCACUUAUAGAUGGAUCCGCGCCGCAUUAGCUAGUUGGUAAGGUAACGGCUUACCAAGGCAACGAUGCGUAGCCGACCUGAGAGGGUGUGCGGCCACACUGGAACUGAGACACGGUCCAGACUCCUACGGGAGGCAGCAGUAGGGAAUCUUCCGCAAUGGGCGAAAGCUUGACGGAGCAACGCCGCGUGAGUGAUGAAGGUCUUCGGAUCGUAAAACUCUGUUAUUAGGGAAGAACAAAUGUGUAAGUAACUAUGCACGUCUUGACGGUACCUAAUCAGAAAGCCACGGCUAACUACGUG
This 497-nucleotide ribosomal RNA is filed under the name uncultured bacterium. Its description in RNAcentral is "partial 16S ribosomal RNA". It matches the Rfam family "Bacterial small subunit ribosomal RNA", at positions 28 to 507 of the family's 1533-position model. The record is from RNAcentral.